Molecule: transfer RNA, 85 nt
Filed under: Felis catus (domestic cat)
Lineage: Eukaryota; Metazoa; Chordata; Mammalia; Carnivora; Felidae
Rfam family: tRNA
About the family: Transfer RNA (tRNA) molecules are approximately 80 nucleotides in length. Their secondary structure includes four short double-helical elements and three loops (D, anti-codon, and T loops).
Source: Rfam by way of RNAcentral
GCCUGGGUGGCUCAGUCGGUUGAGCGUCUGACUGUGGUUCAGGUCAUGAUCUCAUGGCUCGUGAGUUCAAGCCCCGCAUUGGGCU